This is a long non-coding RNA of Vicia villosa (hairy vetch), 2598 nucleotides long. RefSeq lists it as uncharacterized. NCBI's taxonomy places the organism in Eukaryota, Viridiplantae, Streptophyta, Magnoliopsida, Fabales, Fabaceae. The transcript is spliced from 3 exons. The record is from RefSeq and is a predicted model, not a curated record.
UCUUUUUUCAUAAGAAAAACUCGGAUACUUUUUUGCGCCGCGACACCUAUAUAUAUUUUUAAAGAGUAUAAUAGAUGAAUCUCAAAGAUAACUUCUGCAAAAGUUUUUUUAGGAUUUUAUAGCACAACAGCAUGUUCAUUUUGUGAAGAAAUAUUUUGGGCUGUAUUAGUAAAAUAUAACUGGGCUGUUGGGUGCAGCUCACAAAGCCGACAAUGCAAUGAGCAGCGAAGAAAUUUUGGGCACCCAAGGGUAAAAGAAGAUCGAUCAUGCUUUUGCCUCAUGAAUUGAUUAUACAAAUCUUAGUGAAGUUGCCGGUAAAGUCUCUUCUACGUUCCAAGUCUGAUUAAUUCUUUUGAUAGAUUUUUAAAGAUUACCCCUGCAGUUUUGGGGCUAAUUGACUAUUAGCCAAUUACUUUUACUCUAAUUAUAAAUAAAAUAGUAAUUGAAAUAUUAUAACUUUCAUUUUAAUUAAACAAACAAAAAUAUUAAUCAUUGUUCUUAUUUCAAACGUAAAUUGGAAGAUGACAUAGAAUUGGAAAAGUAGAUAAAAUCAACCCUUUACUGGUGAUAUUCUCUCCACUACAUUCUAUGUUUCCUCACUACCAAAGAGACCAAUGGAACAACCUUACUCAUCUUUGUCAAUUUUGUGACAAUAUCACUUUUACUAACCUUUUUGUUGAUAGCCUUAAUUCUAGUCACAGAUUUAAUAAGUUUGUCAACUCCGUUUUGGCGUUUAUUUGGACUCACAUUCAAUCAACCUCAAGUUUAUUAUGGUAGACUUCAUUUGACUUUCCAAAAAUUGUCAAAUGGCUCAAUAUUGUUGUUCAAUGUCAAAUGAUAGCCGUUGACACGGAAAAACAAUAUUGAGUCAUUUGACCAUUUUUGGAAAGCCUAGUCGAAAAACAAAAUAAAGGCUACUAUAAGAAACUUCGAGAGUUAACAAGUAUUGAAUGUGAGUCCGCAUCAUCUCUCAAGGCCAAAACAUAGUUGACAGACUUAUUAAAUCUACGACUAGAAUUAAGGCUAUAAACGACAAUGUUAGGGAAGGUGAUACUGUCACAAAAUAUCUAAAGAUGAGUCCAUCUCUUGCUCAAUACGGCCUCUAUGGUGGUCAGGAAAGAUAGAAUGCAGAGGAGAAUUUUUUAGGGAAAAUUUUUAUCUACUUUUGCAAUUUUACGUUGUCUUCCCAUUUACUCUUGUUUCCGAAGGGAAUUAGAACAAUGAUUAGGGUUUUUGUUUGUUUAAUUAGAAUAAAAUUUUGUAACUCUAAUCUUUCACUUAUUAUUUUAUUUAUAAGAGCAAAAAUAAUUGGCUAAGAGUUGAUUAACUCUACAACUCAACUCAUGAAGAAUCUCUAUCCAUAGAUUUUGAAGCAUCACUUGACGAUGACAAUGCUUCUUUUUCACUCAACCUUCCAGAGGAUUUUACAGGCUUUCAAAUUAGAGGGUAGUGUAGAGGUUUCAUACUUUUCUACAGUUCCUUAAACAUCUACCGAAUCCAUCGAUUGGAGAUUAUAAACAAAUACUUUAUCUCCUUUUGGUUCCAAUUUAGACGUUGGAUAUUUCUAUGGUUUUGGGUAUGAUGAUUCAACCCAUGAUUAUUUGGUUGUUUCAAUGUCUCGCCUGGAGUUCUUCUCAUUGAAAUCUAAUAUAUGAAAAGAAGUUGGGGUCCUUACUUCCCUUAUACCUUCUAGGAGUAUGAGCUCAAAGGUGGUUUGCUCUAUAAGGGAGCUAUUCAUUGGUUGGCUUAUCGUUAUGAUUUACAAAGUGAUGUUAUUGUUGCAUUUAAUUUAAUGGAAAUGAAACUUUUAUAUAUGAUUUUGCAUUGUUAUGGUAAUCCUUUGGAUAGUGGUUUGUGGAUAUAUGGAGAAUUUCUCAGCGUAUACACUUUGAGUUAUAGUAAUGAUCCAGUUGAAUUAUGGGCGAUGAAAGAACACAAAAUGGUGCAGAUGGAUUGGUGAAGUACGAUAAAAGUGGACAGUGUCUGGAGCAACAUUCUUAUCCAAAUUACGACCUUAGAUGUGAAUUGACUAUCUUUAGUGAAGGCAUCCCCAAAGUUGCAAAAAUGGAACAUGGCCAUGAGUUCCUUCUUCUUUCUUUUUGCUUUUGAACUCUUCAUUCUCAAAUUCUGAUUUUGUAGGAUAAAAGGAUAGAAAGUGCAUUCAAACAAGUUUUUAUGUCAUUAACUAGAAAUGGCUAGUUACCACAAUGCCCUCCAACUAAGUAGUAUUCACAAGGUUGCCAUUUAGUUACUUCCUAACCAAAACCGUUUGAUUCCAACUAAUUAACUUAGUCCCUCUUAACAUAAAUAAACAUGCGUUCUUCUAAAUCAUAUGUUUGAAUGGUUAAUUAUUUGUUUAUUGGUAACAUUGUCAGCUUUGUGUGAUUCACUGUUAUUUAUGUAUGAAGUUGGAUUUAUUCUAAUAUAUGUUCUGAUUACUGUUUGAAAUUGUCUUAUAAGGAUGAGUUUAUGCAUGUUGACCAAGAUCACAACUAUAUGACUUUGACUCAGCAAUUUAUUAAAAAUUUGAGCAUAACUGCAUGUGUAUUUGAAUGAUAUUGAAGAUUUUGUUCGCUAAUUUCGGUGGACUAUAAUAAU